Molecule: long non-coding RNA, 739 nt
Organism: Mauremys reevesii (Reeves's turtle)
Lineage: Eukaryota; Metazoa; Chordata; Testudines; Geoemydidae
Exons: 2
Source: RefSeq, a predicted model, not a curated record
GUGGACAUGAGGCUGGCUGGAGGCAGGACAGGGGUUGACAAGAGCCCCCAAAUUCCACUUUGAAUUUCAGGUUCAGGAGAAACAGAACUGAAGCCAAGGAAUUUCACCUCCUCUGCUAGCACCCCCUGGUGGACUCUCUCAGUGGUGGCUUAGUUGCAUGAUGUUCCCUUCAUGUCCUGGCUUCCUGGGCCAGGAUGUUUCCUACAAGCCAUUUCACAGCUUCUCCGCCUCAGGGCACAGCAGGGCUCUGGUCUGUUCCUAGCUCCAGCUGGCUGCUUGGCGAGUCUUCGUGCCUGGAUGCUGUGCUGCCAGCUCAUGCAUUUGGAUAGGAUUUUAUGCAUUGUUGUAUCAAUGCUAUACAUUUCCAUUCAGUUAUAUGGGCAUGUUGUAAAACAGUUCCACAUUAGGGCCUCUCUCCUGCUGAGGGCCCUGUGUUGACAGACAAGCAGCUUGUGCAUUUGUGAAUCCUGUGUGGUUCUUUUAGGGCAACCAAACGCUGAUUUGACAAGGACUUCCAGGGAGCUGAUAUCUAAUAAUGGUGCCACAGGUCCAUGGCAAAUAUACCAUGGGCCAGCCCACUUCCUGGGGAGCCCCAUUGCACCAGCCUGGCCCCUGAAGUUUUUCCUGACCUGCAGGAAGUGAGGUUUACACGACCUCAGUAUUAUUCAUAAACCCAUUCCCCAGCAUGGGUCAGCAGUGAUUACAGUGCACCUUCUGAGAAGGUUCAAGCACCUGAACA